RNAcentral lists this ribosomal RNA (459 nucleotides) under uncultured bacterium. Its description in RNAcentral is "partial 16S ribosomal RNA". It matches the Rfam family "Bacterial small subunit ribosomal RNA", at positions 338 to 795 of the family's 1533-position model. The record is from RNAcentral.
CCUACGGGAGGCAGCAGUGAGGAAUAUUGGUCAAUGGCCGGAAGGCUGAACCAGCCAAGCCGCGUGAAUGACGAAGGUGCCAAGCAUUUUAAACUUCUUUUGUCAAGGGACAAAAUCAGGCUCGAGAGCCUGACCGAGGGUACUUGAAGAAAACGCAUCGGCUAACUCCGGGCCAGCAGCGGCGGUAAUACGGGGUAUGCGAGCGUUAUCCGGAUUUAUUGGGGUAAAAGGGUGCGUAGGGGGGCUGUUAAGUCAGGGGUAAAACCCCGGGGUUCAACUCCGGCGAGCCGUUGAAACUGGCUGUCUUGAGAUGUCGAGAGGUAUGCGGAAUGCGCAGUGUAGCGGUGAAAUGCUUAGAUAUUGCGCAGAACUCCGAUGGCGAAGGCAGCAUACCGGCGGCGAUCUGACGCUGAGGUACGAAAGCGUGGGUAUCGAACAGGAUUAGAUACCCUAGUAGUC